UACGUAGGGUGCAAGCGUUGUCCGGAAUUAUUGGGCGUAAAGAGCUCGUAGGCGGUCUGUCGCGUCGGCUGUGAAAACUCGGGGCUCAACCCCGAGCCUGCAGUCGAUACGGGCAGACUAGAGUCCGGCAGGGGAGACUGGAAUUCCUGGUGUAGCGGUGAAAUGCGCAGAUAUCAGGAGGAACACCGGUGGCGAAGGCGGGUCUCUGGGCCGGAACUGGCGCUGAGGAGCGAAAGCGUGGGGAGCGAACAGG
RNAcentral lists this ribosomal RNA (253 nucleotides) under uncultured bacterium. RNAcentral's name for it is "partial 16S ribosomal RNA". It matches the Rfam family "Bacterial small subunit ribosomal RNA", at positions 524 to 776 of the family's 1533-position model. The record is from RNAcentral.